RNAcentral lists this ribosomal RNA (482 nucleotides) under uncultured bacterium. RNAcentral's name for it is "partial 16S ribosomal RNA". It matches the Rfam family "Bacterial small subunit ribosomal RNA", at positions 30 to 507 of the family's 1533-position model. The record is from RNAcentral.
AUUGAACGCUGGCGGCAUGCUUUACACAUGCAAGUCGAACGGUAACAGGCCGCAAGGUGCUGACGAGUGGCGAACGGGUGAGUAAUGCAUCGGAACGUGCCCAGUCGUGGGGGAUAACUACUCGAAAGAGUAGCUAAUACCGCAUACGAUCUAUGGAUGAAAGCGGGGGACCGUAAGGCCUCGCGCGAUUGGAGCGGCCGAUGUCAGAUUAGGUAGUUGGUGGGGUAAAGGCUCACCAAGCCAACGAUCUGUAGCUGGUCUGAGAGGACGACCAGCCACACUAGGACUGAGACACGGCCCAGACUCCUACGGGAGGCAGCAGUGGGGAAUUUUGGACAAUGGGCGCAAGCCUGAUCCAGCAACGCCGCGUGCAGGAAGAAGGCCUUCGGGUUGUAAACUGCUUUUGUACGGAACGAAACGGCUCUGGUUAAUACCCGGGGCUAAUGACGGUACCGUAAGAAUAAGCACCGGCUAACUACGUG